This 1101-nucleotide ribosomal RNA is filed under the name 'Croton sp.' aster yellows phytoplasma. RNAcentral describes it as "bacterial SSU rRNA". It matches the Rfam family "Bacterial small subunit ribosomal RNA", at positions 171 to 1297 of the family's 1533-position model. Lineage: Bacteria; Bacillati; Mycoplasmatota; Mollicutes; Acholeplasmatales; Acholeplasmataceae. The record is from RNAcentral.
GCAUCUUCUUGUUUUUAAGACCUAGCAAUAGGUAUGCUUAGGGAGGAGCUUGCGUCACAUUAGUUAGUUGGUGGGGUAAAGGCCUACCAAGACUAUGAUGUGUAGCCGGGCUGAGAGGUUGAACGGCCACAUUGGGACUGAGACACGGCCCAAACUCCUACGGGAGGCAGCAGUAGGGAAUUUUCGGCAAUGGAGGAAACUCUGACCGAGCAACGCCGCGUGAACGAUGAAGUAUUUCGGUACGUAAAGUUCUUUUAUUAGGGAAGAAUAAAUGAUGGAAAAAUCAUUCUGACGGUACCUAAUGAAUAAGCCCCGGCUAACUAUGUGCCAGCAGCCGCGGUAAUACAUAGGGGGCAAGCGUUAUCCGGAAUUAUUGGGCGUAAAGGGUGCGUAGGCGGUUAAAUAAGUUUAUGGUCUAAGUGCAAUGCUCAACAUUGUGAUGCUAUAAAAACUGUUUAGCUAGAGUAAGAUAGAGGCAAGUGGAAUUCCAUGUGUAGUGGUAAAAUGCGUAAAUAUAUGGAGGAACACCAGUAGCGAAGGCGGCUUGCUGGGUCUUUACUGACGCUGAGGCACGAAAGCGUGGGGAGCAAACAGGAUUAGAUACCCUGGUAGUCCACGCCGUAAACGAUGAGUACUAAACGUUGGGUAAAACCAGUGUUGAAGUUAACACAUUAAGUACUCCGCCUGAGUAGUACGUACGCAAGUAUGAAACUUAAAGGAAUUGACGGGACUCCGCACAAGCGGUGGAUCAUGUUGUUUAAUUCGAAGGUACCCGAAAAACCUCACCAGGUCUUGACAUGCUUCUGCAAAGCUGUAGAAACACAGUGGAGGUUAUCAGUUGCACAGGUGGUGCAUGGUUGUCGUCAGCUCGUGUCGUGAGAUGUUGGGUUAAGUCCCGCAACGAGCGCAACCCUUAUUGUUAGUUACCAGCACGUAAUGGUGGGGACUUUAGCAAGACUGCCAGUGAUAAAUUGGAGGAAGGUGGGGACGACGUCAAAUCAUCAUGCCCCUUAUGACCUGGCUACAAACGUGAUACAUGGCUGUUACAAAGGGUAGCUGAGCGCAGUUUUGGCGAAUCUCAAAAAACAGUCUCAGUCGAUG